This 432-nucleotide ribosomal RNA is filed under the name uncultured bacterium. RNAcentral describes it as "partial 16S ribosomal RNA". It matches the Rfam family "Bacterial small subunit ribosomal RNA", at positions 29 to 506 of the family's 1533-position model. The record is from RNAcentral.
AACGAACGCUGGCGGCAUGCCUAACACAUGCAAGUCGAACGAGAUCUUCGGAUCUAGUGGCGCACGGGUGCGUAACGCGUGGGAAUCUGCCCUUGGGUUCGGAAUAACUCAGAGAAAUUUGAGCUAAUACCGGAUGAUGUCGAAAGACCAAAGAUUUAUCGCCCAGGGAUGAGCCCGCGUAGGAUUAGCUAGUUGGUGGGGUAAAGGCCUACCAAGGCGACGAUCCUUAGCUGGUCUGAGAGGAUGAUCAGCCACACUGGGACUGAGACACGGCCCAGACUCCUACGGGAGGCAGCAGUGGGGAAUAUUGGACAAUGGGCGAAAGCCUGAUCCAGCAAUGCCGCGUGAGUGAUGAAGGCCUUAGGGUUGUAAAGCUCUUUUACCCGGGAUGAUAAUGACAGUACCGGGAGAAUAAGCCCCGGCUAACUCCGU